CUACAAUACUAUCGAUAGCUCCAAGCACUUUGUGCUAUUAAGUUUUCUCGUGUUAGAUCAACCCCCUUGACCAUUUUCACCCGUUAUAUCAUACUAUUCAACCAACCACCCACUAAACCCUAGGGGACAACUAUCAUCAUAACCAUACAUCGUUUCUUCCAAGGGCUGAAAACUUAAUAGCAUCAAUGACUUUGUGCUAUUAAUAGUACUCUAGCCUAGUUCUCUCNCCUCCGUGCUACUAAGUUGUUUUCAAUGAUGCGGCUUCCAAGUCGACGAUUGGUUCUAUUAGACUUGAUCUACACCAUUAAAAGUAUUUGAAAACUAAAUUUCAUAAUUUUUCGAUAUCAUUAGGCUAGUGAUCAAAAGGUCUCAAAAUUGAUAAUUUUAAUGGUCGAUAUGAUACGUUUGUGAAUUUAACGGUGUAAAACAAUCCAAAUCUGAUGAAAUUUUUAUAGAAAAUUCUUUUCACUAUUUAGAGUAAGGUCAGUACCUUUGAUCUUAAAUUCAAGUAUUUUUUUAUUAUUUUUUAUGAGAUUUUUAUUUUCAGUCGUUCAUUUUAGACUACUCGUUUCAUAGAUAAAUGGUGCCGAAAAAUUAUGAAAUUUAGUUUUCAAAUACUUUUAAUAGUGUAGAUCAAGUCUAAUGGAGCCGAUCGUCGAUUUGGAAGCUGCAACAUUGAAAAUAACUUGGUAGCACGGAGGCCUCCGUGCUACCGAUAGUAUACCAGCCUAGCGCUCUCUCUCUCUCUCUCUCUCUCUAUCUCUCUCUCUCUCUCUCUCUAUAUAUAUAUAGAGAGAGACUCUCUCUCUCUAUAUAUAUAUAUAUAAAAAGAGAAAGAGAAAGAGAGAGAGAGAGAGAGAGAGUCUGACUACCAUAUUCUUAUAUAUGAAUACGAUUGUUUUCGUAUUCAUAAGUCAUUUUCGAUGAUAGAGCGCUUCUGAAUCGACAUCCAUACUGUUAAAUAUUAUCUAGAACAUUUAAAACUUCUAGAAAAUAAAUUUCAUAAUUUUUCGACAUUAUUUACCUUACAAUCAAAAUGUACAAAAUUGACAAUUUUUAACGGCCAGUAUGAAGUACUUGCUAGUUUAACUGUGUAAAAAAAUUAGAAUAUAUUAAAUUUUUAAUAGAAAAUUCUAUUCACUAUCUAGAUAAAGAUUAAUAACUCCAAUCUUAAAUUGAAGGAUCCGAUCAUCCAUUUUUGGGACGUCGUUUGAUUUUUACCAUUCAUUUUAUACCCACUUUAUAGAUUUUAUUAUGAUUUCAAAAAAUUAUAAAAUUUAUUUUUUAGAAGUUUUAAAUACUCUAGAUCAUAUGUAACAGAGUGGAUCAUCGAUUCGGAAGCCCCAUCAUUGAAAAUAACUUAUGAGUACGAAGAACUCUAUAUUCAUAAGAAUAUAGCAAAACUACUCUCCUCCUCUCUCUCUCUCUCUCUCUCUCUCUCUCUCUCUCUCUCUCUCUCUCUAUAUAUAUAUAUAUAUAUAUAUAUUUUGAUGUUAAUUAAUUAUAUAAAAUAUUAUUAGUUUAAAACUAUAAUUAUUCUUAUUCCUAUUGUUCCUAUAUAAUUAUCUAAACACUAUUUUUUUUAUUCUCGAAAAUAACCUAAUUUUUAUCCAAACAUAAAAUGGUCUUAUUUCCGCUUAUGUUCCAAAAUUGUACCUUUCUCAGAAAUAAUAAUAAUAAAAAGUUAAACGAUACUUCAAAUUUUUUCACAUUUAGACUAUUCAAUAGGAAUCCAACUACUAUAUUUAGGAGGACAGCGGCCUUCGUCCUUGUAAGUCGUUUUAAAUGAUAAAAAUUUCGAAUCGAUGAUCGGAACGGUUAAAGUUGAUGUAGAGUAUUUAAAGUGUCUAAAACUAAAUUUUAUGAAUUUUAAACAGCUUGAAUUUUUUAUAGAAAAUUCAUUAUAUUAUUUAGAUAACGUUUAAUAACUCCGAUCAUGAAUUGAAAAUGAAAAAAUCUAACAUCUAUUUUCAUAAGAUUAUUCAUUUUUAACUGAUCAUUUUUCGACUAUUUAAUGAACUUAUUUAGACAACGAAUUUUAAAAUAUAUGAAAUUUAGUUCUAAAUAUUACUCUAAGUCAAGGCAUCUCUAUUAUCUUUUUUUUUUUUUGAGAGAUAGGUAGCACGCUACCCGCUUCGUUUAUUUCAUUAGAAAUUAGAAAUAAACUUAACUGGAAAUGUGAAUCAACUAGGAUUCGAACUUAGGUCUCGGGUACCAACCACCAAGCCCUUUGCCACUUGCUCUAGGAACGGUUUGUGGCAUCUCUAUUAUCUAAAACGAUUUAGGAGGACUAAGGCGCCUGCCUUCCUAAAAAGAUAGCGACUGGACUCAUUCAAUAGCAUGUAAAUAGUUUCAACAUGUCACAACAACAAUCAAAUCAAAUUAAGUGGACUCUUAGUAACGUAUAAUACUCAAAUUGGAAAAAUUCAAAGAAUUAAAUGGCAAAUCGUUUUCUUUGUUGAAACUAAUCCAUAACUUAACUCUAUAAAUUCACCCCUUCUCCAUUCCAAGGUGCACAAUUAUACAUCUUAUAUCUCUCUCUAAAAGAUUAGAUUCAAAAGAGUUUAAAGAGAACUAAUUAAAGAUGCAUUUAACUCCCAUCCUAAGGGCCCUCCUCCUCAUGGCCAUUGUUGCAACACUCUUUUGUGCUCAUUUCGACUUGGUACUUGGAGAUGGUAAGAAUUUUGGCUCUUUAGAACUUUAUCUAGCUAGAGCUUUUAUAAAAGUGUUGUUCAAAUAGGAUUUUUUUUUUAAUUAUUUCUUUCUUUCUCAUGAAAAACCACAUGACGCUCUUGUGAGAAGCUUUAAUCUUUUUAUGCUUAUACUUUUAUAAGAAUAUAGAUGUAGUAAUAGCUGAGCUAAAAUACUAUCUGUAGCAAAUGGGGUAUGUUGCUACUAAUUUAUUUUCGAUGUUGGAGGUUCUGAAUUAAUGAUCGGUACCGUUAAACAUAAUCUAGACCACAUGAAGUAUCUAGAAAUCGAUCAACUUUUAUUUUUUUUCGGUAUUAUUUUCUUGUGCAAUUGACACAAAAAAUGAACGGUUAGAAAUAAAUUAUCCUUCAAAAAGUGAUGAUAGGAUUCGAGAUCAAGAGUGCAGAUCUUAUUUUAAAUAGGUUAAAUAAUUGUUUAAUCAAAAUUCAAUUGAUUUAUAUUUAUUUUUUUUAUACAGUUAAACAAGCAAACGCCUCAUAUCAACUAUUAAAAUUAUAAAUUUUACAAUCCUUUGAUCAUUCGGUCAAUAAUGUUGAAAAGAUUUAAAAUUUGAUUUCUAGAUAUUUCAAGUGGCAUAGAUUAUGUUCAACGAUACCGAUCGUUGAUUUGGAGGCAUCAUCAUCGAAAAUAAAUCAGUAGCAAUAAAUAGAGCCUAUUUGUUAUCGAUAGUAUUCUAAUCCAACUCCAUAUAAUCGAUUAUUACGCAACAAGUUUAAAUACAAGCGGGACAACUUCUCGCUAAAGGUAGCAAGAAGCAAAAGAUUCAUAUUAAAGCUUUUGCAUAACACCCACCAUCCCAAGUGUAAGUAACAAAGAGUUUGAUGGUUGAUGCGUAAGGUCCCCUAAUUGCUUCACAUUUUUAGCUAAAUUUAUUUCUAAAUAAGUGAACGAAAAUCUAUAAAGUGUUUGGUUACUAUACUAUGAAAUAUAUAUAUGGGAAAAAAGAAAAAAAAAAUUAAUAAAAUCAAAAGUAGAAAUAUAUGGACACCCCUCAACUAUAAGAAAUUUUGAAAACUUCAGAAAUAGACACUUAACUUUUCUAAUAUUUGAUGAUCAUACUAUCAAGGAUGCAACAUCAAAUGUUUGAUUAGAUAAGUAAAUUAAUAUAUAUUUUGUCAAAAUUUACAAAUAGUUCUAUCAAAUUUAAUGGUCUUAAUUAAUUUUUAACAAAUAUAAUCAAAAUAAUUAAUAAUUAAUAACUAGUAGAAAUACUAAAUUUAAUAAAAUUACUUAACUAAGUAGAUUACUCUUUCUCUCUCAAAAAAAAAAAAAGAUUACUCAAAUAGCUAAUUAAAAGCUGGGCCAAACACUUCCAAAUAAGAAAACAAAAAAAAAUUAAUUAAUUAAUUAAUAAACGUGCGUGUAUAUUUAUCUUUCAAAUUGAAUGCAAAUUAUCAUAAUACCAAUCUCUAUCUUGAAGCUUAAGUUUUCAAAGAAAUUAUAAUGGUUGUUUCGUAUAAAAUAUAUCAGAGUAAGAGAUUUCGAGUUCAAAUUUUUUUACGGCCAGUUGCCCCUUGGGCUUAUAAAAGGUCUCGUCUCGAGGUAGUAGUGUUGAAUAUGAAUUUUACUAAAAUUAAUACACAUUCCCUAUAUCUCAAAAUUUUAGGAAAAAAAAUUAUUUAAUUAUUUCACAUCACUGAUGGAAUCCAUUUUAUUUUCUAUGGUUUUAUUCAGGGCCAGCAGGGAGGAGACUUUUGGGAAGGGGUGGCUACAAUGGGCCGGGGAAAGAUGCUGUUAACAGUUCCCCUCUGGGAAAUAAAUAAACAAUUUUAAAGCUUAUAUAUAUAAGGGGUGUAAAUUUCAAUUUGCACUUAUGUGGUUUAGAGCAUUUUUAUUUUGCCAUCCUAUAUUUUAAAAAGUUGCAUGCUAUUACCUGCGGUUUAUUUUCAUUUCACUGUAAGUAUCUACAUUAAAUAUGGUAGUAACUAAAGUGACAUUUUUUAUAAAUCAUAUGAUGGUAUACUAUAUAUAUAUAUAAUACUUUACCAUCCUAUGAUUUAUAAAAAAAUAUAAUCACUUAAUUUAUCAUGUUUAAUGCUAUGUCCUUAUGGUGAAACAAAAGUUAAAAUACAGAAUAUUUAAGUGCAACUUUUUGAACCACAAGGCGGUGAAAUAAAAAAUACGCUAAACCAUAUUGGGGCAGAUUGAAGUUUACACAACAAUAAAUAAAACGGAUACUACUAAUAUAAAAUUUGCGUAAGUUUGUAUUUGCAGUGUGUGGAUUUGGACAUUGAUAUGUUGAUACCUGACAUACAUAUAUGUCCAUAUCAUCUCAAAUAUCUCAGAUAUUAUUGUGUGUUAAUUAGAAUGAAUGUAUCAGUGACAUAAAUAUAUAAUAAAUUGAGGUUUGCUUAAGAAGAAUAUUGUUUGGAGCAUAUGGAAUGUAUGCAUGGUUGAUUGUACAGUUCAUGACCUUAAUUUGUGAAAUAUUUUUUUCUUAAUAAGUUGAUUGUACAGUUCAUGGUUGAUUGUAUGCAUGGUUGACCAUUUAGUUUUCUUAAUAGAUGAUUUAGAUUUAAAGCAUAGAUAUCAUUCACCAUAUAUCUAUUUAAAAGGUAUUUUGGUUUUUGUAAAAUAUAUAUUUUGGUUUACAAAAUCAGUUUUAUCCAACUAAGAAUACUGUGAUCUUUUCAAACACCUACAACAAUAGUUGGAUUUCAAAUUACAACCGAAUUGUAAAUUUAAAUUCAAAACAACAUUCAAAACUUAAUUAUAAAUCAAAUUCAAUUUUUUUAAAUAUAAAAACACAAAUUUAAAUAUAAAAACUUUCAACUCCAAUUCAAAAUUUCAAUUUAAAUACUUAACAAAUUGGAUAUUAUCUAAUUUGGUAAGUUACUAAAGUAAAUAAGAUAUUUAAUAUAUAAGAUGCUGACAAAUUUGGUAUAUACUACUAAUUUUUUUUCCAAUAUUGUUAUAUUAACUAAUUCAAAUCUGUAACCUGUUCAACAGGUUACUUCAUGUAAAACCCAAUUAUACCCUUUACUAAUUAAGAGUUAGAUUUUAAUAUUUAUGGUGUAUUGAAGUAUUCCCCUAUAUAUAUAUAUAUAUAUAUAUAUAUAUAUAUAGAGAGAGAGAGAGAGAGAGAGAGAGGCGUCUGGUAUGCUUAUGGAAGCACGGAGCGCUCCGUGCUUCCACUUUGUUUUCGAUGUUCAGACUUUCGAAUCGACGAUCGCUCCGUUAGACUUGAUCUAGAGUAUUUGAAGUAUCUAAGAAGUAAAUUUGCGAUUUUUCGAUAUCAUUUGCCUAGUGAUCGAAGUGGCUCAAAAUCAACGGCUGAAAAUAAAAAUCUUACAAAAUAUGAUGAUAUGACAUUAAAAUUUUAGAUCAAAGUUAUUGAUCUUGUUUUAUGUGGUAUAAAGAAUUUUCUAUCAAAAUUUCAUACGAUUUGGAUAUUUCUACACCGUUAAACUUGCAACCGGCUCACCACGGCCAUUAAAAUUAUUAAUUUUGAGCCCCUUCGAUCACUAGGCAAAUGAUAUCGAAAAAUCAUAAAAUUUAUUUUCUAUGUACUUCAAAUACUCUAGAUCAACUCUAACGGAGCCGAUCGUCGAUUCGAAAGUCUGAACAUCGAAAACAAAGUGGAAGCACGGAGGGCUCCGUGCUUCCAUAAACAUACCAGCCUACUCUAUAUAUAUAUAUAUAGAGAGAGAGAGAGAGAGAGAGAGCUAAGUGGGGUUGAUACAAGGGUCAAAAAAAAGGAAACACCAACUUUCUUAUACUUUGAAAGAAUAGUAGCUUUACACGAUAUAUAGUCUGGUUACUAUAUUCAUAUAUAGAAUUGAGCUCCUAUGCUUUUAAAAGUACUAAGUCAUUGGUGCUUGUAAGUUUUCGACCCUUGGAUUAAGAAAUGUGCGGUUAGGAUGAUAUGGGCCCCCUAGGGUUGAGUGGGUGGUUGGUUAAAUAGUAUCUAACGGGUGAAAAUGAUCAAAUGCGUAGAUCUAAUGGUAGAAAAUUUACAAGCACUAAGUGCUUAGUGCUUUUACAAGCACCGUAGCCGGACUCUUCAUAUAUAUAUAUAUAUAUAUAUAGUCCAACUAUUAUACUCUUAUAAGUAUGAUCGUUUUCGUACUCACAAUUUAUUUUUGAUGAUAGAGCUUCUGAAUCGGCGAUUUAUACUGUUAAAUAUUAUCUAGAGUUUUUAAAAUUUUUAGAAAUAAAAUUUUCAUAAUUUUUUAUAUCAUUUAUCUUACGAUAAAAAAAUUUCAAAAUUGACAAUUUUUAACGGCCAGUAUAUGAUACUUGCUAGUUUAACGAUGUAAAGAAUCGAAAUCUCUUGAAUUUUUGAUAGAAAAUUUUAUUUACUAUCUAGAUAAAUUUAGAUAAAAAUUAAUAACUCUAAUCUAAUAUUAAAGUAUCCGAGCAUUCAUUUUUAGGGCAUUGUUCGAUUUUAAUCAUUCAUUUUAUGCCCGCUUGGAUAGAUUUUAUUAUGAUUUUGAAAAAUAAUGAAAUUUAUUUUCUAAAAAUUUCAAGUACUUUAGAUCAUAUUUUACGGUAUGGAUCAUCAAUUCGGAAGCUCCAUCUUUGAAAAUAAUUUAUGAGUACGAAGGGCUCUAUACUCAUAAAGGUAUAGUAACACUACUCUCUAGAUCUCUCUCUAUAUUGAACGGAGUGUUUUAGUAAUUUAAUUGAAAAUUUGCAGAGUUUUAAACACACACACAAACAUANUUCAUAAUUUUUCGACAUGAUUUGUCUAGUAAUCAAAAGAUCUCAACAAUUGAUAAUUUUAAUGGUUGAUAUGAUGCGUUUGUGAAUUUAACAGUAUAAAACAAUUCAAAUUUGAUGAAAUUUUUAUAAAAUUCUUUUUUUUUUUACUAUUCAAAAUAAGAACAGUAUCUCUGAUCUUAAAUCUAAGUUUUUCAUCAUCAUUUUUUAUAAUUUUUUUUUUCAGUCGUUCAUUUUUAGACUACUCAUUUGAUAAAUAAAUGAUGUCGAAAAUUAUAAAAUUUAAUUUUCAUAUAUUUUUAAUAAUAUAGAUCAAAUAUGACGGAGCCAUUCGUCCACUUAAAAACCAUAUCAUUGAAAAAACUUGAUAGGUCUGCGCUACGGAUAACAUAAGAUAUGGACUAUAUAUAUAUAUAUAUAAAUAUCAUUAAUUGCUUCUAAGCUUUUAUUAGUCCAAGUGUUAGGUUCCUAUCUUUAUAAGGCCUAGGGUUGAGGAUAAAAUCAAGAUAUUGAGUUGAUCUUUAUAAGGCCUAGGGUUGAGGAUAAAAUCUAGAUAUUGAGUUGUACAUAUAAAUGUCAUUCAUUGUUUCUAUGCUUUUAUUAGUCCAAGUGUUAGGUUCCCAUCUUUAUAAGGCCAAAGGGUUGUUAUUUUCAGCAACCAUGGGGAGAAGGAUGAGAAAGAGAGAGAAAGAGAGAGAGAGGGAGAGAGAAUUGCAUGCUCCUGGUGCGCCAUGUCCAUGGCGCACCAUUUGAAACCUCUGAAGCUUGAAAUAGUCGACUUUUUCAAUUCAUGAUCACAGUUAUUAAACGUUAUCUAAAUAGUGUAGAAAUUUUUAUUAAAAAUUCGAGUAGUUUGGAUUGCUCUGUACUAUUAAGCAAAUAGUUCAUAUAGACAUUUUAAAUACUCUAGAUUGAUUUUAAUAAUUUUCAUCAUCGAUUUGUGAUUUUUAUUAUUAAAAACGACUUGAUAGAACGAAAACCUCCAUCCUCUUAAAAUGAGAGUAGCUAAAUUUUAUAUAUAUAUAUAUAUCUAGCUACUCUCAUUUUAAGCGGGUGGAGACCUUCGUUCUAUCAAGUCCAUUUUAAUAAUAAAGAUCACAAAUCGAUGAUGAAAAUCUUUAAAAUCGAUAUAGAGUAUUUAAAAUGUCUACAUAAGCUGUUUACUUAUUUAACGGUUCAGAGCAAUCCAAACUACUCGAAUUUUUAAUAAAAAUUUAUACACUAUUUAGAUAAUGUUUACUAAAUGUGACCAUGAAUUGAAAAAGUCAACUAUUUCAAGUUUUAGAGGUUUCAAAUGGUGCACCACGGACGUGGUGCACCAGGCGCAUGCAAUUCUCUCUCCCCCUCUCUCUCUCUCUCUCUCAUAAUUCUCCCCAUGGUUGUUGAAAAUAACAACCCUUGGGCCUUAUAAAGAUGGGAACCUAACACUUGGACUAAUAAAAGCAUAGAUACAAUGAAUGACAUGUUUGUACAACUCAAUAUCUUGAUUUUAUUCUCAAGCCUAGCUAGCUUAAUUGGAAAAAUUCAAAGAAUUAGAUGGCAAAUCGUUUUCUUUGUUGAGACUAAUUGAUAACUUAACUCUAUAAAUUCACCCCUUCUCCAUUCCAAGGUGCCAACAACACAAUUACCUUAUAUCUCUCUCUAAAAGAUUAGAUUCAAAAGAGUAUAAAGAGAACUAAUUAAAGAUGCAUUUAACUCCCAUCCUAAGGGCCCUCCUCCUCAUGGCCAUUGUUGCAACACUCUUUUGUGCUCAUUUCGACUUGGUUCUUGGAGAUGGUAAGAAUUUUGGCUCUUUAGAACUUUAUCUAAAGCCACAUGACGUUCUUGUUAGAAGCUUUAGUGUCUUCAAUUUUGUUUUUUUUUUUUUUUUUGAGAGAUAGUUAGUACGCUACCCGCUUCGUUUAUUUCAUUUAGAAAUAAACUUAGCAAGAAAUGUGAAUUAACUAGGAUUCGAACUUAGGUCUCAGGUACCAACCACCAAGCCCUUUGCCACUUGCUCUAGGGACGGUCGAUGUGUCUUCAAUUUUGCUAAAAAGAUCUUUUUAUGCUUAUAUACUUUUACAAGAAUAUAGAUGUAGUAAUAGCUGAGUUAAAAUACUAUCUGUAGCAAAUGGGCUAUGUUGCUACUAAUUUAUUUUCGAAGUUGGAGGUUCUGAAUUAAUGAUCGGUACCGUUGAAUAUAAUCUAGACCACUCGAAAUAUCUAGAAAUCAAUCAACUUUUAUGUUUUUUCGGUAUUAUUUUCUUAUUCAUUAAAUGGACACAAAAAAUGAACGGUUAGAAAUAAAUUAUCUUUCAAAAAGUGCUGACAGGAUUCAAGAUCAAGAGUGCAUAUCUUAUUUUAAAUAGCUUAAAGAAUUGUUUAAUCAAAAUUCAAUUGAUUUAUAUUUCAUUAUACAGUUAAACGAGCAAAUGCCUCAUAUCAACUAUUAAAAUUAUAAAUUUAACAAUCCUUUGAAAAGAUUUAAAAUUUGAUUUCUAGAUAUUUUAAGUGCCAUAGAUCAUGUUCAACGAUACCGGUCGUUGAUUUGGAGGCCUCAUCAUCGAAAAUAAAUCAGUAGCAAUAGAGCAUGUUACCGACUGUUCCUAAAGCAAGUGGCAAAGGGCUUGGUGGUUGGUACCCGAGACCCAAGUUCGAAUCCUAGUUGAUUCACAUUUCCAGCUAAGUUUAUUUCUAAAUGAAAUAAACGAAACAGAUAGCGUGCUAUCUAUCUCUCAAAAAAAAGCAAUAGCUAGAGCAUGUUUGUUACCGAUAGUAUUCAAGCCCAACUACUCCAUAUAAUAGAAUAUUACACAACAAGUUUAAAUACAAGCUGGGCAGCUUCUCGCUGAAGGUAGCUAGAAGCAAAAGAUUCAUAUUAAAACUUUUGCAUAACACCCGCCCGCCCGGAGAGUAAGUGGCAAAGAAUUUGAUGGUUUAUGUCUGAGGUCCAAUAAUUACUUCACAUCUUUUGCUAAAUUUAUUUCUAAAUAAAUAAACGAAACUGAUAACAUGUCACCAUUCUCUCAAAAAAAAAUGUUUUGCUUGACUGCAUUUUAUUCAUAUUACCCAACGGAUGUCUUCUGCUUCUCAAGUAAUAACGAAAGCCACUCAAACUGUUAUUGUAUGGGAUUUCAUUGAAAUAUACAAAUCUUUAUAUUUCUUUCAAUCUAUACGGACACUUCUAUAAGUCUCGUGUGUCCGUAUCGGACACGCGCGUAUCCGUGUCGGAUACGUGUCCGAUCUGGACACUUUUUAGACGCGCAUUUUAUGUUGAUCUAUAGCGCAAACAAUUAAAAAAUAUAUAUACAUAUUUUUAUUUUAUCUUAUUUAUGCAUAUAUAAUGUAAGAUAAUAAAUAUUUUAGAUUUUUGAUGUAUGCAUACAAAUUUUUUUUGAUAAUACAAGUAAAUUAUGUAUGAUGGAGUAUUUUUUUCUUAAAAUAUAUAAACUAUCAAUAAAAAUUUUACAAACUUUUAUUUGUACAAGAAAUAUAAUAAUAUUUUACCAAAAUUAAUAUUUUAUAUAUAACAAAUUUAUAUUAUUAUAUAUAUUAAUAAUAUUUUAUAUAUGAAUUAAUAAUAUUAUUAUAUUCAUAAAUAUUUUAUUCACAUCACUGAUAAAAGCCAUAUUUUCUCCUGCUUUAUUCAGGGGCAGGGAGGAGACUUUGCUAGGAAGGAGUGGCUACAAUGGCCGGCGAACCCCGCAGUUAUCAAUUCCCUCCGGAAUAAAUAAACAAAAGAUAUUUAAAGCUUAUAUAUAAUAUAUAUAAUAUAUUAUAUAAUAUAUAUAUAUAUAAUAUAUAUUUUUAAUAUAUAUAUAUAUAUAUAUAGCAGGGCUAUUGUGCUCUCAAAAAGUAUGGAGGCCUCUGUGCUCCUGAGCCGUUUUCGAUGGAGUUUUCGAAUCGACGAUCGGUUCCGUUAAACUUGAUCUAACAUAUUUGAAGUUUCUAGAAAAUAAUUUUUGCAAUCUUUCGAUAUCAUUUACCUAGCAAUCGAAAGGAUUCAAAAUCAAUAAUUUUUAACGGCUGAAAAUAAAAAUCCUAUAAAAAGUGGUGAUAUAGCACUAAAAUUUUCGAUCAGAAAUAUUGGUCUUGUUGUAGAUAGUAUAAAGAAUUUUGUAUCAAAAUUUCAUCUGAUUUGAAUACUUCUAUAUCGUUAAAUUUGAAAACGACAGAUAUCAACCAUUAAAAAUUAUGGAUUUUGAAUCCUUUCGAUCACUAGGUAAAUGAUAUCAAAAAAUCGCAAAAAAUUAUUUUCUAAAAACUUUAAAUGCGCUAGAUCAAAUCUAACGGAGCCGAUCGUCGAUUCGAAAAUUCCAUCAUCGAAAAUGACUUAGGAUCGCAGAGGCCUCCGUGCUCCUAAGAGCACAGCAGCCUUACUCUCUCUCUAUAUAUAUAAAUGGUGUAGAUUUUAAUUUGCACUUCUGUGGUUUAGCGCAUAUUUAUUUUGCCAUCAUGUAGUUUAAAAAGUUAUUUAUUGUUAUCUGCGGUUUAUGUUCAUGUCACCGUAAAAAUCUACAUAAAGUAAUAUUUUUUGUAAAUCAUAUGGUGGCAUAUAUAUAUAUAUAUAUAUAUAUAUAUAUAUAUAUAUAUGAUAUUUUACUAUUCUAUAAUCUGCACUUUACCAUCCUAUGAUUUACAAGAAAUAUAUAUAAUCACUUUACCCCUUUUAAUGCAGAAUAAUUAAAUGCAACUUUUUGAACCACACGAGGCGGUGAAAUAAAAAAUACGCUAAAUCAUAUUGGGGCAUAUUGAAGUUUACACAACAAUAAAUAAAAUGGAUACUACUAAUAUAAAAUUUGCGUAUGUAUGUAUUUGCAGUGUGUGGAUUUGGACAUUGAUAUGUUGAUACCUGAUAUACAUAUAUGUCCAUAUCAUCUCAAAUAUCUCAGAUAUUAUUGUGUGUUAAUUAGAAUGAAUGUAUCAGUGACAUAAAUACAUAAUAAAUAAGUUGAGGUUUGCUUAAAGAAGAAUAUUGUUUGGAGCAUAUGGAAUGUAUGGUUGAUUGUACAGUUCAUGACCUUAAUUUGUGAAAUAUUGGGUGAUUCAUAAUAUGNCUCUCUCUCUCUCUCUCUCUCUCUCUCUCUCUCUCUCUCUCUAUAUAUAUAUAUAUAUAUAUAUAUAUAGAACAAACCAUGAACUCUACAAAAGCCUAACUUAUCUCAACUAAGGGCUCUAACUUUCUCAGCAGCUAUUCGUUUAUAUAUAGCCACAGCUCCAUGGAUGUGCCAAGUGUUCUACACAUGAACAGUGGAGUUGGCGACAUGAGCUAUGCUGAGAAUUCCACCAUUCAAGUUAAUUUGAACCUACACCCUCCUACUUAUAUGUAUUUAUAUAUGUUAUAUAUUUGACUUUGCUUUCCAAAUAUAUAUAUAUUUCUGCAUGCAUGUUUGCGUAUCUGUGGAAAUUUACACAGGAUAUAUAUAUGCUUUCCAAAUAAUAUAUGUAUUUAUAGUGCUUGUUUGGUCAGAUUGGAGGUAGAAUAACUUUUACAUCCUUCCAAAUGCUUUUCACUUAAGCCUAAAUAGAAACUUCAAUUCUAUCAUUUGGGCUUAAAAGUUUAUCUUGGCCUUUUACCUUCACUAAAGAACCUAGCUAUAUAUAUACGUUAUAUAUUUGACUUUGCUUUCCAUAUACAUAUAUAUAUAUAUAUAGAGUUGAGCUGGAAUGCUAUCGGUAGCAAACGGGCUCCGUUGCCACCCAUUUGUUUUCGAUGAUGGAGCUUUCAAAUCAACGAUCGGCACUGUUGAACAUGAUCUAUAUCACUUAAAGUAUUUAGAAAUUAAAUUUCAAAUCUUUUCGACAUCAUUUACCUAAUGAUCAAAGGGUUUCAAAAUUAGUAAUUUUAAUGGUUGAUAUGAGGGGUUUUUUCGUUUAACGGUGUAAAGCUAUCCAAAUCAAUUGAAUUUUGGUUAGAAAAUUCUUUAAACUAUUUAGAACAAGAUCUAUAUUCUCGAUCAUGAUUACAAAAUUUCUAUCAUCACUUUUUAGAGGAUAUUCAUUUUCAGCCAUUUAUUUUUACGCCCACUUGAUGGACAAGAAAACAAUAUCGGAAAAGUAUGAAAUUUGAUUUCUAGAUACUUCAAGUGGUAUAGAUCAUGUUCAACGAUGUCGAUCGUCGAUUUGGAGGCUCCAUCAUCGAAAACAAAUGGGUGGCAACGGAGCCCGUUUGCUACCGAUAGUAUUCCAGCUCAACUCUAUAUAUAUAUAUAUAUAUAUAUAGAGUCCGGCUACUAUACUAUCGAUAGUACCAACCCCUUGGUACUAUUGAGUUUUUUACCGUUAGAUCUACCCUUUGAUCAUUUCCAUCCGUUAGAUUAUAUUAUUAAACUAACCAUUCACUCAACCCUAGGGGACCACUAUCAAUUUAACCGGGGACCACUAUCAUCCUAACCGCACAUCUUUUCAUCCAACGGCCGAAAACUCAAUAGUACCAAGGGCUUGGUACUAUUGAUAGUAUAGUAGUAUAAUUCUAUAUAUAUAUAUAUAUAGUUGAGCUAGAGUACUAUCGAUAGCAAACGGGCUCCGUUGCCAUUCAUUUGUUUUCGAUGAUGGAGCCUCCAAAUCAACAAUCGGCACCGUUGAACAUGAUCUAUACCACUUGAAGUAUAUAGAAAUCAAAUUUUAUACAUUUUCGAUAUUGUUCUCUUAUCCAUCGAGUGGAUACAAAAAUGAACGGCUGAAAAUGAAUAUUCUUUAAACAAUAAUGAUAGGAGUUUUGUAAUCAAGAUCAAGAGUGUAGAUCUUGUUUUAAAUAGUUUAAAGAAUUUUCUAACAAAAAUUCAAUUGAUUUGGAUAUCUUUACGC
This 14160-nucleotide long non-coding RNA is filed under the name Ananas comosus (pineapple). RNAcentral describes it as "long non-coding RNA (ACOM_LNC017164)". Lineage: Eukaryota; Viridiplantae; Streptophyta; Magnoliopsida; Poales; Bromeliaceae. The record is from RNAcentral.